GCAGGUGCCCUAGCUCAGUCACAGAGUAUCUGCUCAGUAUGCAGAAGGUCCCAGGUUCAAUCCCUGCCAUUGGCC
This is a non-coding RNA of Podarcis lilfordi (Lilford's wall lizard), 75 nucleotides long. The record is from the annotation of a GenBank genome assembly. Lineage: Eukaryota; Metazoa; Chordata; Lepidosauria; Squamata; Lacertidae.